RNAcentral lists this ribosomal RNA (410 nucleotides) under uncultured soil bacterium C046. RNAcentral's name for it is "bacterial SSU rRNA". It matches the Rfam family "Bacterial small subunit ribosomal RNA", at positions 289 to 716 of the family's 1533-position model. The record is from RNAcentral.
GGUCUGAGAGGAUGAUCAGCCACACUGGGANUGAGACACGGCCCAGACUCCUACGGGAGGCAGCAGUGGGGAAUAUUGGACAAUGGGCGAAAGCCUGAUCCAGCAAUGCCGCGUGAGUGAUGAAGGCCUUAGGGUUGUAAAGCUCUUUUACCCGGGAUGAUAAUGACAGUACCGGGAGAAUAAGCUCCGGCUAACUCCGUGCCAGCAGCCGCGGUAAUACGGAGGGAGCUAGCGUUGUUCGGAAUUACUGGGCGUAAAGCGCACGUAGGCGGCUUUGUAAGUUAGAGGUGAAAGCCCGGGGCUCAACUCCGGAACUGCCUUUAAGACUGCAUCGCUUGAAUCCAGGAGAGGUGAGUGGAAUUCCGAGUGUAGAGGUGAAAUUCGUAGAUAUUCGGAAGAACACCAGUGGC